UAUAUUUAAUAUUCCUGUAGAACUGUAAGAGAGAAUAUAUUUAACACAUCAUUUAAUAUUCCUGUAGAACUGUAAGAGAGAAUAUAUUUAAUAUUCCUGUAGAACUGUAAGAGAGAAUAUAUUUAACACAUCAUUUAAUAUUCCUGUAGAACUGUAAGAGAGAAUAUAGUCAACGGCUGCUGUCAAAAGGUGAUGGACGAGUUAUUCCUGUGUCCUGUGUUCAUGCCCUUUUAAGGACAUCCUGUCCGGAUAUCCUCAUGCUAUUUAGGGUAGGUUUAUGCCCUUUUAAGGACCUCCUGUCCAGAUAUCCUCAUGCUAUUUAGGGUGUGCUUAUGUAACUUGAUAGUGCAGCUGUUUCUUCAAAGUAAAGCAAAUGUUUGUAACAAAAAGUAAUGAUGAUUGAUGUGUGGGGAUCUUGUUGAACUGAAAGAAAAUGUGUUUGAACUGAUGGAGCUGCUGUGUAGUGACCUUGUGA
Long non-coding RNA from Oncorhynchus tshawytscha (Chinook salmon), 475 nucleotides. The record is from Ensembl. Lineage: Eukaryota; Metazoa; Chordata; Actinopteri; Salmoniformes; Salmonidae.